Molecule: transfer RNA, 358 nt
Filed under: uncultured Microcystis sp.
Lineage: Bacteria; Bacillati; Cyanobacteriota; Cyanophyceae; Chroococcales; Microcystaceae
Description: partial 16S-23S ribosomal RNA intergenic spacer
Rfam family: tRNA (bases 133-206)
Source: RNAcentral
AAGGGAGACCUAAUUCCGGUAGGAGACGAAAAAAAAGUAGUCCCAACCAAGGAUCAAUCCCAAAAGGUCGGAACGAGGUAUGAGGCUUUCAAACUAGGUUCUGGGUUCAUAAAAGACCUGAAUCAGGAACAAGGGCUAUUAGCUCAGGUGGUUAGAGCGCACCCCUGAUAAGGGUGAGGUCCCUGGUUCGAGUCCAGGAUGGCCCACCUGCACAGGUGGCAAAAACAAGAGAAGCUCCGAAUCAGCACCUUAUCUUAUAUACAUAUAUAAGAGAGAAUGCUGGCUCUGAGUAAAGAGUCCAGAGGAACCUUGAAAACUGCAUAGAGCUAGGUGAAAAAGCCAAAAAAGAAGACCGCAA